RNAcentral lists this ribosomal RNA (793 nucleotides) under Hypogymnia canadensis. RNAcentral's name for it is "partial large subunit ribosomal RNA". It matches the Rfam family "Eukaryotic large subunit ribosomal RNA", at positions 95 to 905 of the family's 3401-position model. The record is from RNAcentral. Lineage: Eukaryota; Fungi; Ascomycota; Lecanoromycetes; Lecanorales; Parmeliaceae.
GAAGCGGCAACAGCUCAAAUUUGAAAUCUGGCCCCUUCGGGGUCCGAGUUGUAAUUUGUAGAGAGUGUUUCGGGUGAGAUCGCGGUCUAAGUCCAYUGGAACANGGCGUCAUAGAGGGUGAGAAUCCCGUAUGUGACUGUGGAUCGAGCCCAUGUGAAGCCUCUUCGACGAGUCGAGUUGUUUGGGAAUGCAGCUCAAAAUGGGUGGUAAAUUUCAUCUAAAGCUAAAUACUGGCUGGAGACCGAUAGCGCACAAGUAGAGUGAUCGAAAGAUGAAAAGCACUUUGGAAAGAGAGUCAAACAGUACGUGAAAUUGUUGAAAGGGAAGCGCUUGCAACCAGACCUGUCCGUAGGUGAUCAGCCGCUGUUCUCAGUGGUGCACUCGCUCUGCGAUCAGGCCAGCAUCGGUUCGGGCGGUCGGAUAAAGGCCUUGGGAAUGUAGCUUCCUUCGGGGAGCCUUAUAGCCCUCGGUGCAAUGCGGCCAGCCGGGACCGAGGACCGCGCUUCGGCUAGGAUGCUGGCGUAAUGGUUGUAAGCGACCCGUCUUGAAACACGGACCAAGGAGUCUAACAUCUAUGCAAGUGUUUGGGUGUUAAACCCAUACGCGGAAUGAAAGUGAACGGAGGUGAGAACCCUUAAGGGCGCAUCAUCGACCGAUCCAGAUGUCUUCGGAUGGAUUUGAGUAUGAGCAUAGCUGUUGGGACCCGAAAGAUGGUGAACUAUGCCUGAAUAGGGUGAAGCCAGAGGAAACUCUGGUGGAGGCUCGCAGCGGUUCUGACGUGCAAAUCGAUCGU